GCCCCCGUAGCAUAGUCGCUAUUGCGGCGGUUUUGUAAACCGCAGGUCGAGGGUUCAAAUCCCUCCGGGGGCU
This 73-nucleotide transfer RNA is filed under the name Candidatus Woesearchaeota archaeon. RNAcentral's name for it is "tRNA-Thr". It matches the Rfam family "tRNA". From Rfam's summary of the family: Transfer RNA (tRNA) molecules are approximately 80 nucleotides in length. Their secondary structure includes four short double-helical elements and three loops (D, anti-codon, and T loops). Lineage: Archaea; Nanobdellati; Candidatus Woesearchaeota. The record is from RNAcentral.